Molecule: ribosomal RNA, 253 nt
Filed under: uncultured bacterium
Lineage: Bacteria
Description: partial 16S ribosomal RNA
Rfam family: Bacterial small subunit ribosomal RNA
Source: RNAcentral
UACGUAGGGUGCAAGCGUUGUCCGGAAUUAUUGGGCGUAAAGAGCUCGUAGGCGGUUCGUCGCGUCGGCUGUGAAAACCCGGAGCUCAACUCCGGGCCUGCAGUCGAUACGGGCGGACUUGAGUGUUGCAGGGGAGACUGGAAUUCCUGGUGUAGCGGUGAAAUGCGCAGAUAUCAGGAGGAACACCGGUGGCGAAGGCGGCGACCUGGGUCGACACUGACGCUGAGGCGCGAAAGCGUGGGGAGCAAACAGG